GUGCCAGCAGCCGCGGUAAUACGGAGGGUGCGAGUGUUAAUCGGAAUUACUGGGCGUAAAGGGCGCGUAGGCGGUCGCGCAAGUCGGGUGUGAAAGCCCCGGGCUCAACCUGGGAAUUGCAUUCGAUACUGCGUAACUAGAGUCUGGUAGAGGGAAGCGGAAUUCCGCAUGUAGCGGUGAAAUGCGUAGAUAUGCGGAGGAACACCAGUGGCGAAGGCGGCUUCCUGGACCAAGACUGACGCUGAGGCGCGAAAGCGUGGGGAGCAAACAGGAUUAGAUACCCUGGUAGUCCACGCCCUAAACGAUGAGGACUAGACGUUGGGGGGAUAAAACCCUUUAGUGUCGCAGCUAACGCGUGAAGUCCUCCGCCUGGGGAGUACGGCCGCAAGGUUGAAACUUAAAUGAAUUGACGG
Molecule: ribosomal RNA, 413 nt
Filed under: uncultured bacterium
Lineage: Bacteria
Description: bacterial SSU rRNA
Rfam family: Bacterial small subunit ribosomal RNA
Source: RNAcentral